GGCAGCAGUGGGGAUUUCUGACGAGGGGCAGAAGGGGGGAUUCAUCAACAAUGGGUGAAGGAUGAAGGCAGUGGGGUGGUAAGAUGGUUGAAUGCGUAAGGAUAAUAAUAUUUUUUAUAGAAGGAAGUUAAGGGGGUUCCUUAAGAAGAAACCCCGGCUAAAUUCGUCCCCACCACCGGGGUUAUUAGGAGGGGGCCAGGGUUUAUCGGAAUUUAUGGGGGUAAAGGGUGCGCAGGGGGUUUUGAAAGACAGGGGUGAAAUCCCAGGGCUCAACCUGGGAUCAGCCCUGGAAACUGCAAGUCUAGAGUACGGGAGAGGGGAGUGGAAUUCCGAGUGUAGCGGUGAAAUGCGUAGAUAUUGGGAGGAACACCGGUGGCGAAGGCGGCUCUCUGGACUUUCACUGACGCUCAUGCACGAAAGCGUGGGGAGCAAACAGGAUUAGAUACCCUGGUAGUCCACGCCGUAAACGAUGU
This 473-nucleotide ribosomal RNA is filed under the name uncultured bacterium. RNAcentral's name for it is "bacterial SSU rRNA". It matches the Rfam family "Bacterial small subunit ribosomal RNA", at positions 347 to 812 of the family's 1533-position model. The record is from RNAcentral.